RNAcentral lists this long non-coding RNA (2144 nucleotides) under Pan troglodytes (chimpanzee). RNAcentral describes it as "long non-coding RNA NONPTRT010415". Lineage: Eukaryota; Metazoa; Chordata; Mammalia; Primates; Hominidae. The record is from RNAcentral.
GCAUGGUGGUCUCAGAGAGAAGGUGGAAGCUAUCACAGUUUUUAAAGGUUAGGCUCAUCACUAUCGGCUACAAGAAGUCCAGGCUAACUCAGAUGCAAGAGGAAAUUGAUUCUAUCUUUUGAUGUUUGAGUAGCAGGCGUGAGCCACCACACCCGGCUAGAAUAGUGGAAUAGUGUACUUUUGAUCCAAAUUUCUCUCUGCCUCUUUUCUUUCUCUCUCUUUCUUUCUCUCUCUCUCUCUCUUUUUCUUUCUUUCUUUCUCUCUCUCUCUGUCUCCUUCCUUCCUCCCUUCCUUUUUGCAUUUUGGCAAUGGCCUUUCACUUAAUGUCUUUUCUCUUUAUGCUCCGUCUUUGGGAGGAAUGCGUGAAGAGUUGGUUGUGGGUGGGAGACAUGGUGAAGAAGGCUGCUGGCAUGGCUGUAGUGGAGGAAGCCAGGUAUGUCCUUUCAUUAGGUCAGAUCAUGUGAGCUGCAUGGAGCUCGGUUCCUUUCAUAUGGAGAACCUGGGGUUAGGAUGUCCCUGUGGCCCUAGAUGGCCUCACUUUGUUCCCCUGAGCUUUAGAAUCUUCGUCCUCGGCAGGGUUAGUGACGCACAACACCUGAGGCUUCGAGUUGCAUUUAGGGAAGAAAGGGAUCAUGGCGCUCCCUGUUCAGCUGGCGAGCCGUGCUGGAGCCCUGCCAUGGUGCCCCCGCACCCUCCUACCCCUGCUCCCAUUCCUCCCUGCCCCUCACCCACUUCCCUUCACGAUGGCCUAAUGGGUCUGAUGACUCUCUGAGGACUAGUUACAAAUAACAUUUGCAUGGAUCAUUGAAGCGCUUUUUAUCUCAUUAUGUCACUUAGUCCUCACACCCACUCUGUGAGGUGGAUAUUCUUGUCACUGGCAUUUUAUAGAAAAGAAAGUGGAGGAGGAACAGAGGGUGAAGAAGGCGCCCAGGCUCCCCCUGGGAAGCGCAGAGCCGGCUGGUCUCAGGGCCAAGACUUCCAGAUCCAAAUGCAGUCAGAAGUCGUCUUCUCUGAGGAGAUCGAGACAGACGGUUGUGGAAGUGGUUACACAACUGUGUGUCAGAACAUAGAACUGUACACCAAAAAAGGGAGUUGUACUGUACAUGAAAAAGGGGAAUAACAACAAAAGAUAGAGAGCACAGACGGUCAAAAGAUGGCUUCAGCAUACAGUUGACCCUUGAACCACACAGGCGUUAGGGGUGCUGCCCCCCACACAGUCAACAUCCGUGUAUAACUUUUUUUUUUUUUUUGGAGAUAGAGUCUCUCUCUGUGUCACCCAGGCUGGAGUGCAGUGACGCGAUCUUGGCUCACUGCAGUCUUCGCCUCCCGGGUUCAAGUGAUUCUCCUGCCUCAGCCUCCUGAGUGGCUGGGACUAUAGGCGCCCGCCACCACACCAAGGUAAUUUUUAUGGUGUGAUCACGGCUCACUGCAGCCUCAACCUCUUGGGCUCAAGUGAUCCUCCUGCCUCAGUCUCCCAAGUACCUGGGACCACAAAUAUGUGCCACAACACUCGGCUAAUUUUUUGUGUUUUUACUAGAGACGGGGUUUCACCAUGCUGGCCAGGCUGGUCUCGAACUCCUGCCCUCAGGUGAUCCACCCACCGCGGCCUCCCAAAGUGCUGGGAUUACAGGCAUGAGCCACUGUGCCUGGCCAGGAAAAUAUAUUGACUAUUCAUUAAGUGGAAGUGGAUCAUCAAAAGGUCUUCAUCUGCAUCUUCACGUUGAGUAGCUGAGGAGGAGGAGAAAGAGAAGGGGUUGGUUUUGCUGUCUCAGGGGUUGCCGAGGUGAAAGAAAAUCUGCAAGUGGACCUGUGCGGUUCAAACCCUGUUGUUCAAGGGCCAACUAUGGUGUGGUAAGAGCUAUGGUACCUUAACAGACACUCCACGGGGCUAGGAGAGAAGUUGACUUGGAUGGGGCACCAUGGCACAUUUUGGGAUGAUGGCAGUCUUUCGUAUCUUGCUUGGAGAAGUAGUCACACAGCUGUACAUAUUUGUCCAUAUUCAUCAAAAUAUACACCUAAGGCUGGGCAAGGUGGCUCACGUCUAUAAUCUCAACACUUUGGGAGGCCAAAGUGGGAGGAUCGCUUGAGCCCAGGAAUUCGAGACCAGACUGGGCAAAAUAGUGAGACCUCAUCUUUACACAGAA